Long non-coding RNA from Gadus morhua (Atlantic cod), 691 nucleotides. RefSeq lists it as uncharacterized. The transcript is spliced from 2 exons. Lineage: Eukaryota; Metazoa; Chordata; Actinopteri; Gadiformes; Gadidae. The record is from RefSeq and is a predicted model, not a curated record.
GGAAUUUCAGACAUUUGUCAUGAAAUUUCCCUCUGUCAUCCUGCUCUGUUAAACUUAGGGUUUAAGUGAACCAGGUAGUAAACAUUCAGCUCGCUCUGUUAAACAUGGGGUGAGUUUGAGUGAACCAGGUAGUAAAUAUUCAGCCUGCUUUGUUAAACAUGGGGUUUGAUUGAACCAGUUAGUAAACAUUCAGCCUGCCCUGUUAAACAGGGGUUUACAUGAACCAGGUAGUAAACAUUCAGCCUGCCCUGUUAAACAGGGGUUUACAUGAACCAGAUUGUAAACAUUCAGCCUGCUAUGUUCAACAUGGGGGUUACGGGAACCAGGUAGUAAACAUUUAGCCUGCUCUGUUAAUCUUGGGGUUUAAGUGAACCGGGUAGUAAACAUUCAGCCUGCUAUGUAAGUGAACCAGGUAGUAAACAUUCAGCCUGCUCUAAUAAACAUGGGAUUUUAUCGAACCAGGCAGUAAACAUUCAGCCUGCUCUGGUAAACAUGGGGUUAACAUGAACCAGGUAGUAAACAUUCAGCUUGCUCUGUUAAACAUGAGGUUUAAGUGAACCAGGUAGUAAACAUUCAGCCUGCUCUGGUAAACAUGGGUUUUAAGUGAACCAGGUAGUAAACAUUCAGCCUGCUCUAGUAAACAUGGGUUUUAAGUGAACCAGGUAGUAAACAUUCAGCCUGAAGGUUUAAA